Molecule: long non-coding RNA, 323 nt
Organism: Parus major (Great Tit)
Lineage: Eukaryota; Metazoa; Chordata; Aves; Passeriformes; Paridae
Exons: 3
Source: RefSeq, a predicted model, not a curated record
CUCUAAUACUGUUGUAUUUAUAAACUAUUUCCAUGGGCAGUGCUGCAGGUUCUUCCUGUUUUGUGUUCCUUGAAGCCAAUUGAAUGUUAACUGAUGAAAGCUAGAGGACAGCUGAGUUUUCCAGCAGAAAAAGAAGCAGGAGACAUGUAUAAAAAAUACAAGAGGCAGCACAGGAGAGUCAAGACAAAGAUGCAAGUUCCUGCUUUUGGAUUUAGAGGUCAGCCCUGAUUGAAUGAGUUUGCAUGACGUCAGCUCCUAAGUCAUCCUCUGAGAGGUGCUUUGGAAUAGAAAACAGGAGUGGCUGGAGCCUAAUGAUUCAUACC